GACGAACGCUGGCGGCGUGCUUAACACAUGCAAGUCGAGCGGUAAGGCCCUUUCGGGGGUACACGAGCGGCGAACGGGUGAGUAACACGUGGGUGACCUGCCUUUAGCUCUGGGAUAAGCCUGGGAAACCGGGUCUAAUACCGGAUAUGACUCCGCGGCGCAUGUUGUGGGGUGGAAAGCCUUGUGCGGCUGGAGAUGGGUCUGCGGCCUAUCAGCUAGUUGGUGGGGUAACGCCUACCAAGGCGACGACGGGUAGCUGGUCUGAGAGGAUGAUCAGCCAGAC
Molecule: ribosomal RNA, 283 nt
Filed under: uncultured bacterium
Lineage: Bacteria
Description: partial 16S ribosomal RNA
Rfam family: Bacterial small subunit ribosomal RNA
Source: RNAcentral